This 323-nucleotide ribosomal RNA is filed under the name uncultured Pseudomonadota bacterium. RNAcentral describes it as "bacterial SSU rRNA". It matches the Rfam family "Bacterial small subunit ribosomal RNA", at positions 29 to 351 of the family's 1533-position model. The record is from RNAcentral. Lineage: Bacteria; Pseudomonadati; Pseudomonadota.
AACGAACGUUAGCGGCGCGCCUAACACAUGCAAGUCGCACGAGAAAGGGCUUCGGCCCCGGUAAAGUGGCGCACGGGUGAGUAACACGUAGGUCAUCUACCCUCGAGUGGGGGACAACCCUCCGAAAGGAGGGCUAAUACCGCAUGACGCCAGCAAUGGCCAAAGCGGGCCUCUCCAUGGAAGCUCGCGCUUGAGGAUGAGCCUGCGGCCCAUCAGCUAGUUGGCGGGGUAACGGCCCACCAAGGCAAAGACGGGUAGCUGGUCUAAGAGGAUGAACAGCCACACUGGAACUGAGACACGGUCCAGACUCCUACGGGAGGCAG